AGCGACUAUACUGUGAAACUGCGAAUGGCUCAUUAAAUCAGUUAUGGUUUAUUUGAUGGUACCUACUACUUGGAUAACCGUAGUAAUUCUAGAGCUAAUACAUGCAGGAAGACCCGACUCACGAAGGGUUGUAUUUAUUAGAUAAGAAACCUUCCCCUUUGGGUUGCGUGCCGAGUCACAAUAACUGCUCNAAUCGCAGGGCUUCACGCCGGCGAUGGUUCAUUCAAAUUUCUGCCCUAUCAGCUUUCGAUGNUAGGAUCGAGGCCUACCAUGGCGUUUACGGGUAACGGAGAAUUAGGGUUCGAUUCCGGAGAGGGAGCCUGAGAGAUGGCUACCACAUCCAAGGAAGGCAGCAGGCGCGUAAAUUGCCNGAAUCCUGACACAGGGAGGUAGUGACAAGAAAUAACAAUACAGGGCUACAUCUAGUCUUGUAAUUGGAAUGAGUACAAUUUACAUCUCUUCACGAGGAUCAAUUGG
This 477-nucleotide ribosomal RNA is filed under the name uncultured eukaryote. RNAcentral's name for it is "SSU rRNA". It matches the Rfam family "Eukaryotic small subunit ribosomal RNA", at positions 68 to 551 of the family's 1831-position model. The record is from RNAcentral.